Molecule: transfer RNA, 98 nt
Filed under: Rhodococcoides trifolii
Lineage: Bacteria; Bacillati; Actinomycetota; Actinomycetes; Mycobacteriales; Nocardiaceae
Description: Rhodococcus trifolii tRNA-Ser
Source: RNAcentral
CGACGAUCCGGGUGGUGGACGAAGUUCCCGGCGACCCGGAGCGUCGCCGAACGUGGUGGUGCCCGCACUGCCAGCCGGGUCCCGGACCGGAUCGCUGA